Long non-coding RNA from Zophobas morio, 197 nucleotides. RefSeq lists it as uncharacterized. The transcript is spliced from 3 exons. The record is from RefSeq and is a predicted model, not a curated record. Lineage: Eukaryota; Metazoa; Arthropoda; Insecta; Coleoptera; Tenebrionidae.
CUUAAAAAACAUAAGAAACCACCAACAAACGAAUAUAGUGACCUUCAUAAUUUGCUUCCAAAUUUGGUUUCCAAUAGCUCCUCUUCUACUGUUUAUGAAUAUUAUUUUGCAAUGAGUUAUAUUAUUUGCUAUAAAAAUACGCUCUUUCCGCCAAUGAACUGGGCCUACACACUAGUCACGAAGGAGCUGGAAUUCAA